Molecule: ribosomal RNA, 504 nt
Filed under: uncultured bacterium
Lineage: Bacteria
Description: partial 16S ribosomal RNA
Rfam family: Bacterial small subunit ribosomal RNA
Source: RNAcentral
GACGAACGCUGGCGGCGUGCUUAACACAUGCGAGUCGAACGGAAAGGCCCUGCUUGCAGGGUACUCGAGUGGCGAACGGGUGAGUAACACGUGGGUGAUCUGCCCUGCACUUCGGGAUAAGCCUGGGAAACUGGGUCUAAUACCGGAUAGGAGCCAUUUUUAGUGUGAUGGUUGGAAAGUUUUUUCGGUGUAGGAUGAGCUCGCGGCCUAUCAGCUUGUUGGUGGGGUAAUGGCCUACCAAGGCGGCGACGGGUAGCCGGCCUGAGAGGGUGGACGGCCACAUGAGGGCGGCGAUGGGGCGCCGGCGCGUAGGGGAGGGAGCGGGGGGGAGUAUUGCAGCGUGGGCUAGCGGCUGAGGAAGCGGCGGGGGGUGGGGGAGGAGGGUGGUGGGGUUCUACACCCCGGCAGGUCGGGGCGAAGUUUUUGGUGACAGUAACUAGAAAAGAAGAACCGGCUAACUACGCGCCAGACGCGGCGGGAUCGUCGGACAGAAAUCCUCUGAAC